UAUAUGUCUUACAGAAAACGAUCCUGAAUUGUAGACAAUGCUGGAAUUAGAAGAUUCUUCAAAAAUCGAUCUACUUUCCAUAUUCGUUAAAAAGAUUAGUAGGAGGAUUGUAUACGCAGUUAUGCAAUGGUGCAUUUUUAAGUUUCUUCAGAAUAUGGCUAUAUAACAAAGGUUAACCAUGUGUUCCAAUUUAAGGAAUUUGAUAGAUAUGUCUGCCAAAGAAAAAAUGAAGAAAAAGAAGUUUAAAAACGGAAACAUCACAACAACAAUGGAAAAGUUUGGGAAAGGAACAUCAAAACAGGUGAGGUUAAAAAAACAUCUGGUGAAGAAAGACCAAAACUGAGAAUAGAAUAAGAAGUUUGCAAAAGUUGCAUCAAUGCUUAAAAGAAAUGAAUUAGAAAGUGAAGCGUGAAUCUAUGGAAAGAUAAAUUAGGUAGUAAAGGUGUCUGGAACUGGAUGCAGAUUUUUUGGGCUCCUUGCACAAUGUGCUUAUCCAAAGUUUAAAAGUUCGAAGACCCAGAGAUCACUGGAAACUCAUUUAUCGAAAUAUAUCACCAGUGGGUAGAUCAAACUUGUUGAAAUAAGUUUGACUAAUCAUUAGGAUCUUCCCUUGUAUUACGCUUUUUCCUAACUCAUCAUAAUGUAAAAAUUAAAGUUCAAGGUAAUGGUAUCUUUCUUGAGGAGUAACAUACCUUGUGUAUUACUUGUUAAAUCUUUAUUUAAGGAGAAGGAUGUAUAUAACUAAACUUGUUGCUGUUUCUUUAUUUUAAUGAUAUGCACAAUACCCAGGAUAUUACAAAUCGGUUCAUGACGCAACCGCAUAAUGUAUAAAUAAAUACCUCGGAUGUUGUAAUAUCAUUGCUAGUGUUCGUAUUAUUGUUUACUACGUCAAGUUGCGGUGUGCUAUCUUGUUUACUUUUUAAAGAUGUUGUAAGUUCUUAGGGAACUCUGUGCUUCUGCACGUAUCUGUUCUUUUCCUUCGCACUCAUUUGUAAACAGUCAUCUUCAUAUUUAGUUCGAAAUAAAUUAUUCUUGAAACUGCAA
Molecule: long non-coding RNA, 1044 nt
Organism: Parasteatoda tepidariorum (common house spider)
Lineage: Eukaryota; Metazoa; Arthropoda; Arachnida; Araneae; Theridiidae
Source: RefSeq, a predicted model, not a curated record